GCCGAAGGCCAAACCAACCUGGACUCACCCGAUCUCAUCUGAUCUCAGAAGCUAAGCAGAGUCGGGACUGGCUAGUACUUGGAUGGGAGAUCGCCUGGGAAUACCGGGGGUCGUAGGCU
RNAcentral lists this ribosomal RNA (119 nucleotides) under Ornithorhynchus anatinus (platypus). Lineage: Eukaryota; Metazoa; Chordata; Mammalia; Monotremata; Ornithorhynchidae. The record is from RNAcentral.